Molecule: long non-coding RNA, 215 nt
Organism: Trichomycterus rosablanca
Lineage: Eukaryota; Metazoa; Chordata; Actinopteri; Siluriformes; Trichomycteridae
Exons: 3
Source: RefSeq, a predicted model, not a curated record
CCUAAUGGAGGUGGAGGAGAUUUAGGAGUUGCUCUGGGACCAGACAGGAACCUUUUGGCCAAGUACAGAGCUUUCCCUGAUGCCUAUCGUACCAAAGAAAAGGAGCAUGGCAAACUCAACCCUCGACCAGGCAAGAUGUUCAUAUAUACCCGGCCAGGACGUCAGGGCCAGAGAAUCGAGGUACGAGGAGAUGUGGUGGAUGCCACACAGUGGAC